ACCACACAAAUAUUCAGUUCCUUUAUCACAUAGCUGGGACCUCAAGUUGUGCCACACUUCUUUCUUAUUUGAAAGCAGCCCCUAGGACGCUCCUAGCUAGUUGUAUCUUGCAUGUUGCCCCAAACAUAUGUGCCCAGAUCUUUCACUUCAGAGUAGUCGGUAUGUUGUCCAGUAACAUUUUUCUAAAGUGUUUUCUGUGAUAGGGGCUUGCAUAGUUGUACGGGGCGAUUAGUUCUUUCCUGUAGAAACAAGCCAUCACCCACAUCAUCCUGCUCCUGAAAGGGGGGUUAGUAGGGAUAGAGCAACUGUGCAAACACAAUAGGGCAACUUUGAACUAGAAUAGAGCAACUCCAGGCCACAAAUCAGAAAGCACCAUAAAUAAUGACAGUGUGAUUUGGAAGAACUACCACACAACAAAAGCAAUAAAAACGCAAAAAAAUAAGGUACCAUAGUUGCCCUCACAGUUUGGAUCCUUUUUUGUGCAUAAUAAAAUGAUAACAUAGUUGCCCCUAAUCAACCAUACAGUUGCCUAAAAGCACUAUCCAGUUGCCCAAUUGUCAUGAGCAGAAACAUUAACAAGACCAUAGUUUGGUCAAUAUCUAAAGGUUUUUGAUACCUGCAAUUAAGUUUAUGUCAUAGCCAUAGUUCAAAAAAGCGCUAGGCGUUAAUUGUGCGUUUUGCCACCGCCUUGCGCUUUACUGACCAAAGCGCAUGCUUAUGCGCAGUUAUACACAGAUUUAGCGUAGUUAUGCGCAAUACGUUUUGCCAACGCCUAGAGCCUAGGCGCGCCUUUUUUAACCAUGGUCAUAGCUGCAGUUCCUAAUUUAUUGAUUCCCACUGGACAUCAUCAGUCUUUUACUCUGUUCUACGUUUGUGACAAAUCCUUUUGAUGUCCAGACCGUGUUGUGUUGUUCCAAAUGAUAAUGUCUGAAACCCACAUGUUUCCUGAAAACCAAGAGUGGUAUUCAUAAGAAAUAUGCAGGCUUAGAAGUUCAGAACUGUCCAUUUGCUGCUGCAGGUUAUUGGUAGAAAUCAGCAUCUCAAGUUUGAAAUUGUGCAAGUGUAAUGCGACACAAAAGCUAUUAACUAGAGAGUUGAUAAAUUAAUGAGGGAGAGAGAGAUUUGUACAUACAAUCUUCUUGAUGCUGGGCGGAAGGAUAAAUUAGUCCUCACCAUAAAAAUCGCUCCUAUUUUUCAGACAGUUUUUGCUUUUGACAUAUCUCACACAAGAGGAAGUGCCUGUAUUUUUCUUUCCAGAUACCCCUUUCGACGAGAUACUUUUUUUUGUUUCAUUCAGAUAUCAUGCAUGCUUUUUGACACAUUGUUAUUCAAAAACCAAGCUGAUCCAUCGACCAGUGCCAACAGACGUAAGCAUGUUCGCAUGAAGCGAAAUUCAAACCAUGGCACACGCGUAGAAGAGCGUACAAGUUAAAGAAAGAAGGACCAGAGCUCACCCCGCCGGUGGGGUCAUGCGACGAGCCGGGGCGAAGAACACCUUCAUCGACAUGAUGGCAUCCCCCAAUCAAUCUAGUACAUCGGGUGCUCUGAGCAAACUCCUUCUACAUUUCUGCUUCGUCUCCAAGGGUGCAGGUUGUGGGAUAGCGGCCCGUGUGCAACUACCAUAAGAGCACACUGACAGUGAGCAUCUCCAAGAGCAAGGGUGGAGAGGACGCUGCAGCUCAAGGGGGGCCUCACUAGGUGAAGGUGAGCAUGGAUGGCGCCCAUUUUUGUCCCAUCAAAUUCUUUUAAAUUCGUUGGAGAGCAAGGGGGAUUAGUACGCAGGAGGCAUUCCCCCCUAUCAAAUUCGUUGGGCAAUUCUGUAUCCAACAUUCUAGGCUAUUAUGGAUUAUAGGGAGUAUCGAGAGGCAAUCAGGGACCUUUUUGUUUAAACCAGUGGGAUAAUUUUUUGCAGUCAAUAGAUAGGCAAUUAUGUGGAUUAUGAAGACAAAACAGUCGCCUGGAUUUGCUAGAAGAGUUGCAUCCUAUCAUAAUGCAGUUGCUUAGUGUGGUUAGGACAAUUGCUUGGUUUUGCCAGGAUAGUUUUGCAUUAUGUUUUUUGGUAACACAGUUGCUUGGAUUUGCUAGGACAGUUGCUUGGUUUUGUUAGAACAGUUUUUGCAUUGUGAUUUUGGUAAUACAGGUUCUUGGAUUUUUUUGUCAA
Triticum aestivum (bread wheat) is the source of this 2161-nucleotide RNA transcript. RefSeq lists it as uncharacterized. The record is from RefSeq and is a predicted model, not a curated record. Lineage: Eukaryota; Viridiplantae; Streptophyta; Magnoliopsida; Poales; Poaceae. The transcript has 3 exons.